RNAcentral lists this ribosomal RNA (465 nucleotides) under uncultured bacterium. RNAcentral's name for it is "partial 16S ribosomal RNA". It matches the Rfam family "Bacterial small subunit ribosomal RNA", at positions 338 to 795 of the family's 1533-position model. The record is from RNAcentral.
CCUACGGGAGGCAGCAGUAGGGAAUUUUCGUCAAUGGGCGCAAGCCUGAACGAGCAAUGCCGCGUGAACGAGGAAGGUCUUCGGAUCGUAAAGUUCUGUUGAAGGGGAAACAGAGCGGAGAGAGGAAAUGAUCUCUGAUUGAUAUUACCCUUCGAGGAAGUCACGGCUAACUACGUCCCAGCAGCCGCGGUAAUACGUAGGUGGCGAGCGUUAUCCGGAAUGAUUGGGCGUAAAGGGUGCGUAGGCGGCCUGCUAAGUCUGGAGUGAAAGGUACCGGCUCAACCGGUACAGGCUCUGGAAACUGGCGGGAUAGAGAGCAGGGGAGGGCUGUAGAACUCCAUGUGUAGCGGUAAAAUGCGUAGAUAUAUGGAAGAACACCAGUGGCGAAGGCGGCCGCCUGGCCUGUUGACGGACGCUGAGGCACGAAAGCGUGGGGAGCAAAUAGGAUUAGAUACCCUAGUAGUC